This 648-nucleotide long non-coding RNA is filed under the name Mytilus galloprovincialis (Mediterranean mussel). The record is from RNAcentral. Lineage: Eukaryota; Metazoa; Mollusca; Bivalvia; Mytilida; Mytilidae.
ACAUCAAGAGAAAAUCCCCAAAAAGUAUGUUUGACGAUGUCAUAUCGUUACGCUCAUACAUUUAUAUGGAAUAAAUGGGGCUGUCCUUUUUGCUUAAAAAAUACUAUCAUCAUGAGUAACAUUUUUUGCACCUAACCAAACGGUGCUAUGUCAAUUUAAAUGUGGGGGAAAAUGACUUCCUUUUACUUAAUCCUUAUUUAAUACAUGCAAUGAAAUCGAGUGGACCCAAAGACAAAAAAAUUUACAUACUAACAUUAAAUUCCCACACGAAUCGAAUAUCUCAUUUAACAAAGUUGUGUGACUAUUUAGUUUUGUUGUCGUAUGCAAUUCACUUGUAUUUUUUUGUCUUGUAUAAUAACGUUCUACAAGUAUUACGUUAAAACUUUUAUUUUGCAUAAAUUGUUUUCCAUAAAAGAGUCCUCCUUUCUGCCUUUACACAUAUAGUGAAAUAGAACAAAAAUAUAUGUCAUUGAAUUCCCUACAUAUUUUUUUCAAUUAAAAAAUGUGUUAGGAUGGUCUUAGGACCAUCGUGGUUAGGACUAUCCUAAGAUAGCUUUGUUUUACAUCCUAAGACAUGUCUCAGACACGUCCUAAGACCAUCCUAAAUAAUGUCCUAAGACAUAUCUUAGGACAUAUCCUAGGAUACUU